GUGCUCGCUUCGGCAGCACAUAUACUAAAAUUGGGACGAUAUGGAGAAGAUUAGCAUGGCCCCUGCACAAGGAUGACAUGCAAAUUCAUGAAGCAUUCCAUAUUUUA
RNAcentral lists this small nuclear RNA (107 nucleotides) under Tupaia belangeri (northern tree shrew). Lineage: Eukaryota; Metazoa; Chordata; Mammalia; Scandentia; Tupaiidae. The record is from RNAcentral.